Molecule: unclassified non-coding RNA, 211 nt
Filed under: Hevea brasiliensis (rubber tree)
Lineage: Eukaryota; Viridiplantae; Streptophyta; Magnoliopsida; Malpighiales; Euphorbiaceae
Source: RNAcentral
UUCACACAGCCAUUCAAGCUCAAAUGAGUGAGAUGUGUACAGCAAGCAAGAAGCUCCUCUAUGGCAGACUGACAGAGGGUACCAUAAGACAAAUCCAACUCCUGAAGCACUGUCAGAACUCCUUCCUUGUAAAGAGGCUCCAAAGACUUGUCAGUGAGAUACUUGCAGGCUUGCAAUUUUAGUACCUUCAGUUGCAAACAAGACUCAAAAA